Rosa chinensis is the source of this 1214-nucleotide long non-coding RNA. RefSeq lists it as uncharacterized. The record is from RefSeq and is a predicted model, not a curated record. The transcript has 2 exons. Lineage: Eukaryota; Viridiplantae; Streptophyta; Magnoliopsida; Rosales; Rosaceae.
GGCAUGUGCAUGUAGAGGAGGUAAGGUUGGAAGACUUGAGAAGUAUUCUGGGUCAUCCUUCAUCUCUACAAAAUAAUAUAUCAUUGAAGAAACCAUAAAUGUGCAAACAGAGUUUAGUUGGUGUCGUCGUCUGAAAUCACAACACCCUUCCAGCAAACAAAGCAACUUCAUUUGCAAGAACCUAGUUUCAGGAGAGUGUCUUCUGUGAACUGUCACCGGAGUCAAAUCCCGCCUGUGAGCAACACGGCACACCCCCUCACCAGGCUGCUAGAGUCUUUGAAAGUCUAUUGGCAGAGUCCAUCUUGGAAGGUGAGGGCAACUUGCAUUUCAAAAGCUUGCAACUACAACACUUGAAAAACUAAUGCCGAGGAUAGAAGGGAAGGGAAAGCUUGAUCAGGCAAGGUGGAGGCUAGUGUAUGCACCACAUAUACCUAGCUUGCUUUUUGUUGAUCCUACUGUGGAUCCUCUCAAAUCUCUGGCCAGUAAUAUUUCAUUUGGUACAGAAGUUGAAGUCCAACUUGGGAAACGUCUUACAGGUAUUUUUCAAGCAAACUCCUUAAUCUACUUUCUAUAUUGUUGCAACUCACAUUUGAUUCGACUUGAUUCUUAUUCUAGUUUUGCUAUUUGUUAUUAUUUAGAAUAUUAUGUCGCUUUAGCAAGGGAGUUAAGAUGAUUAAUUAAUUAACCUUUCAGAGAGUUACUUGUAUAAUAUCUUUCAUUGUCUUAUGUGAAUUGAGUUCAGUAGCAGUUUACCUUGUAAUCCUAUAGUGUGGGUAGAGAGAAUGUUGAAUAGAUGAAUACUAACUACUUUUUUUUUUUUCUGUCUUUAAAUGAUGUUGAACAUAGACACUUGAGAUAUUGUUACUUUUUACCUUUGAAUGUUGUUAUGAUCCUAUAGGAGAUAUUUGUCUCCUCCCGGCCUCACUUGUUCGACAAAUGAAGGACUCGGAAAUGGCAAUGCAAUGAACAUUAAUCUACCAGCUUACCAGCCGCCUGCACGUUCAAAAUGCCUCAUUUUUGAAUAUUCUGACGUGGGAUUAAUCUGCUAGCCAUUAUACUUUUAGUUGUGAAUUGUAGCUUUUAAAUUUCCUCAACUGUCAAUUGUACAUAUGACACUAUUUGCUCAAAAUUGAAUUAGGCAACUUUGUAAGUUCACAAUGUUACUUUGUACAUAGUUCAAUAAAUCAUCAAUGAAAGGAGAUUACCAGUUCUAA